This 373-nucleotide ribosomal RNA is filed under the name Escherichia coli. RNAcentral describes it as "partial 23S ribosomal RNA". It matches the Rfam family "Bacterial large subunit ribosomal RNA", at positions 819 to 1191 of the family's 2925-position model. Lineage: Bacteria; Pseudomonadati; Pseudomonadota; Gammaproteobacteria; Enterobacterales; Enterobacteriaceae. The record is from RNAcentral.
GGUGAAAGGCCAAUCAAACCGGGAGAUAGCUGGUUCUCCCCGAAAGCUAUUUAGGUAGCGCCUCGUGAAUUCAUCUCCGGGGGUAGAGCACUGUUUCGGCAAGGGGGUCAUCCCGACUUACCAACCCGAUGCAAACUGCGAAUACCGGAGAAUGUUAUCACGGGAGACACACGGCGGGUGCUAACGUCCGUCGUGAAGAGGGAAACAACCCAGACCGCCAGCUAAGGUCCCAAAGUCAUGGUUAAGUGGGAAACGAUGUGGGAAGGCCCAGACAGCCAGGAUGUUGGCUUAGAAGCAGCCAUCAUUUAAAGAAAGCGUAAUAGCUCACUGGUCGAGUCGGCCUGCGCGGAAGAUGUAACGGGGCUAAACCAUG